This is a non-coding RNA of Bos taurus (domestic cattle), 73 nucleotides long. The record is from Rfam. NCBI's taxonomy places the organism in Eukaryota, Metazoa, Chordata, Mammalia, Artiodactyla, Bovidae.
UCCCUGGUGGUCCAGUGGUUAAGACUCUGCACUCCUGAUGCAGGGGGCACAGGUGCCAUCCCUGGUUGGAGAA